CCUUAAAUGUGCAACUGUUGAAGUGCAUAGUUAACUGCUCCAUUUUUACAAAAUUAUAAUAAAGUUGUUUUGAAGAAUACAGUCUCUCUCCUUUUGGUUAGAAUUUCUACGACAAUUUUGUGACAGCGGUGGAAUGGCUAACUCCGCUUGCUGAUUGCUCCCGGGGAGAUGAGGUUAACUGUGCAGGGGUUGCGUCAGACGUGGCAGGGAGCCCCACACCCAGUGAGUGGAUACGCUAUUCCGAACAUACAAAAUUAAUUGAGGGAACGCGAAGCGAGGCGGCCAUCUCUGUCGGCGCCGGAAGUACCCCACUCUUCCACCAAAGCACCUGCAAGUUCCCAGACAUUUCUGAGGGGACUGGCCCUAGCCCUCACCCUCCGAUCCAACAAGUCCCAGACAUGCUCAAUGGGAUUGAAAUCCGGGCUCUUCGCUGGCAAUGGUAGAACACUGAUAUUCACAGGAUGAGCAGUAUGGCUGGUGGCAUUGUCAUGCUGUAGGGUCAUGUCAGGAUGAGCCUGCAGGAAGGGUACCACAUGAGGGAGGAGGAUGUCUUCCCUGUAACGCACAGCAUUGAGAUUGCUUGCAAUGACAACAUGCUCAGUCCGAUGAUGCUAAUCAACAAAUGUAAAAAUAUUUCAACCAGAAAAUGACGUCAUUAUGACGUCCCAUGCCAAAUUCUGCCCACUGGAGUGUGUGCAGCCAAGGACUGUAUAACCUGUUCACAUGCAAAAAGUACCUGGGCAUGUCCAGUCAAGACAAAAUAAAGUAAAUGGACUAACAAGACUCUUCAAGCAGACGUUGAGGGUGACCUUCACUUACACGAGCUCAAGAGAGCAAGCUACAGUAGAGACAAGAGAGACUUUUGAUUCCUUCAGCUGUGUUUGGGAAUGAGACUGAACGUGCAUUAGGUGCUGCUUCCAUCCUUUCCCUCCUCUCAUCCACUCCCAUAUGGCAGGCGUGUGGAUCUGGGCAUAGGGAGAGAGCGUCGGAGGGAGAAAAAAAAAAGAGGUCCCAUAUGUGUUUUUUCACUUCGUUAGUUCCAAAGCAUACAGAGGCCCUCUUCAGCAGAUCCAUUUAAAUCAAUGUGGUUUUAGAUGUCCAGAAAUGCAGCCCUCAUUUGCAUGAGAAGCUCACAUCACAAGCUGUAGAACGUAGGAAAAAAUAAGAAGUUAGACUCUCACACUGAGGGAUGUGCUUUAAUUAAA
Molecule: long non-coding RNA, 1205 nt
Filed under: Salmo salar (Atlantic salmon)
Lineage: Eukaryota; Metazoa; Chordata; Actinopteri; Salmoniformes; Salmonidae
Description: lncRNA (ENSSSAG00000095610.1)
Source: RNAcentral